ACAUGAACAACGCAUUAAAAUAACAUUCUUAAAAAAAGCGUUCCUACGAGGAUAUACUUGUAUAACCUAUGAAGUAUGGAAAUCGUCAAACAGAAUGGAGACAAACUGCUCUAUAGCAGAGUGUCGAUCUUGGGUGCAGUGCCUGCUUGAACUCCAUAGUAGGGAUUGCAAUGAUUGAUUCUACAA
Molecule: small RNA, 186 nt
Filed under: Aspergillus aculeatus ATCC 16872
Lineage: Eukaryota; Fungi; Ascomycota; Eurotiomycetes; Eurotiales; Aspergillaceae
Description: A. fumigatus sRNA Afu_182
Rfam family: A. fumigatus sRNA Afu_182
Source: Rfam by way of RNAcentral